GGACACUAGAGACAAAAAUCACAUGCUUGGUUAGAUAUAGUGGACCUUUUUGCCUCUACUAUUGGUUGCUCAUAAACUACUAAAAACACAAGGGAAUUAGACUUGCACUUUCAUAUUGAGCAAAUUGAUUUUGAGAAGAAAUAUGACAACCUUGCAGCAGAGAACAUUACUAAAUUAGGUUCAAGGCAUGAACAGACAGACAACAAGUGCAUGUUUUAAAGAGAAUGGUAUACAUUUAUUAUGUACAGAUACAUUGGGAUAGGGAUAAAUAUUAUUAGAUGAU
RNAcentral lists this unclassified non-coding RNA (283 nucleotides) under Hevea brasiliensis (rubber tree). Lineage: Eukaryota; Viridiplantae; Streptophyta; Magnoliopsida; Malpighiales; Euphorbiaceae. The record is from RNAcentral.